UCUUCUAAGUCAGUGCAAAACUAGUAAUGAUCUUACUGUUUACCUACGUGGCUAGAGCAGACUUUUUUCUGUUCAUGAGAGCUGAUUGUCAAAUAUUCAGGAAUUUCAUGACCUGGAUAUUAAACCUUGGAACUUUGAAAUUGGAAGUAUUUAUACCACAGAAAUUGUCAAUCACUUCAAAUCAGGGCUUUUUUGUUUUUCUUGAAAGCUGAUUUAUAUAUAUACCACUGUCUACUUUAAAUCAAUGUAGAAAAGUUACAAAGGAGAUGGCAGGUAAAAAAAAAACUUAAGGUUUCAAAGGGAAAGGUGAAUAACACAAGUAAACUAAAAACACAAAGAAAUUGAUGACAAAGGUGUAAUAAUUUUUUAGAAAGGUGCACAGAUGGAGAUACACGUAUUUAAGUAUUUGAAAGAUAGAGACCUGGUUAUUAGACUAAGCAAGUAUGAUAAUGAUUUAUGAAAGUGCAUCUGAAAUAAGGUGGUUUUGUUUUUAAAUUUUUGAGACAGGGUUUCACUCUGUCACCCAGUCUGGAGUGCAGUGGUGCAAUUACAGCUCACUGCAGCCUCGACCUCUCAGGUCGAUUGCUCAAGCAAUCCUCCCACCUCAGUGUCCCAACUAACUGGGACAGCAGGCAUGCACCAUGCCCGGUUAAUUUACUUAUUCUUUUUAAUUUUUUUUUGUUGAGACGGGGUCUCACUAUGUUGCCCAGGCUGGUCUAGAACUCCUGGGCUCAAGUGAUCCUCCCACCUUGGCCUCCCAAAGUGCUGGGAUUACAGGUGUGAACCACCACACCCAGCCUGUUUUCUUGUUAGUUGAAGUAGGCAGCACAAAUCAUAAUGAUUUUCACAAAUCAUAAUGAACACGCCCACAUAAGCACCAUCCAGGUAAUCAAGCAAACUUUGAAGAGACAAAAAGGUACUCUUUUGUGGAAAGUAAUGGAUUAGGCAUUCCUAGCACGCAUGCAACAGGAAAACGACUUGCAGCACCAUAACCGAUAUAUUUGAGCUUCAAGAAUUUCAGCUGCACAAUAAACCCUCCUCUGAAUUUUUAUUUUAUUGGAUGCUGCAGAUUAGUUUAUAAAGACUUUUUAGCUGUGCUGAUGAAUAUAUGUAAUAGCUAAAUUUAGGGCUUUUAAAAAACACUCCUUUGAGAUUUGAAGGUGUUGCUUAGCUACUCCUUUUCUUAGUGAAGUCUCUUAUUUAAUGUAAUUUCUUAUGCUGCAGGUGGGGGAAGUGGGCUAUUAUUGAAUAUCUUUCUGUCAGGUUUCAUAGCAUAUGCAGUAUACACAUUGCUGCUACUUUUGUGUUGUUAACUCCUUAGUCUCCUAAAACUAGACAUUUAAACCAUCAUUUGUAUAUGUAUGUGUGUGCAUUCUUUUCUUGGUGGAAAGGUUUAUAAUUGUGAUGAUAAUACCUGUAGUUAUACUAAAUUGUUUCAUUUUUACUGUAAAAAUUUUUUCAGUACCAGACCUUUAAAACAAGAAUUAUAUGGUAGCAUGAGAUUGUGCUAAAUGGUUUUCCAAAAUAAUUAAACCUUCAGAAGUGAACCCAUCCUUUAAGCCUGUGUUUUUUUCCUUGAGUCUCCUAGAGCUUCCAGUUCUCUACACCUGAACCUGGGCAUGGACCAUUGAAGGAUCAACAGAGUCCUUGUCAGCGGUGGCAACUGGGCAGUUGAAAGAGUUAGCAGUGUGGCUGUCUAUGAAACUGACAAGACUAAUUUUGUUGGCUCUAGUAUGGAACAGUAACCACUGUGCUACCAGCCAUAGAUCUACUUCAAUGCCAAAAUACAAAUGUAACCAUCCAGUUCCAUUGUCAACCAGCCCAUCUAAGUAAUGCUGUGACUAGUAAAUUAGAACCGACCCCUCAGCUAUCAAAUACACUUGAACCAUUUGGA
This 1894-nucleotide long non-coding RNA is filed under the name Macaca mulatta (Rhesus monkey). RNAcentral describes it as "lncRNA (ENSMMUG00000060996.1)". Lineage: Eukaryota; Metazoa; Chordata; Mammalia; Primates; Cercopithecidae. The record is from RNAcentral.